RNAcentral lists this ribosomal RNA (465 nucleotides) under uncultured bacterium. Its description in RNAcentral is "partial 16S ribosomal RNA". It matches the Rfam family "Bacterial small subunit ribosomal RNA", at positions 28 to 507 of the family's 1533-position model. The record is from RNAcentral.
GACGAACGCUGGCGGCGUGCUUAACACAUGCAAGUCGAACGGAAAGGCCCUGCUUGCAGGGUACUCGAGUGGCGAACGGGUGAGUAACACGUGGGUGAUCUGCCCUGCACUUCGGGAUAAGCCUGGGAAACUGGGCCGAAUACAGGAUAGGAGCCAUUUUUAGCGUGAUGGUUGGAAAGUUUUUUCGGUGUUGGAUGAGUUUGCGGCCUAUCAGCUUGUUGGUGGGGUAAUGGCUUACCAAGGCGGCGUCGUGUAGCCGGACUGCGAGGGUGGACGGCCACAUAGGGACUGAGAGACGGCCCAGACACCGACUGGAGGGAGCAGGGGGGAAGCUUGCACGAUCAGCGCAAGCCUGAUGCAGCGACUCCGCGGGUCGUAUGACGGCCUUCGGAUUGAAAACUCCUUUCGCAAGGGACGAAGCUUGUUGUGACGGUACCUAGAUAAGAAGCACCGGCUAACUACGUG